AGUUGUCGGCUGCGCGCAGCGCGGGCUCUCAGGCCACAUCCCCUCCCCCCAUCCCGGCCGUGGCCUCGCGCAGUCCGCGGGCGUCGCUUCUGCAUGUCGGUGCCCAGGUGAGGACGGGAAACUGGCCGCGGGCCCCGCGAGAAAUGGAGUCCAGGAGGGGGCGGGCGUCAUGAGGCCGCCAGGGCAGGUCUGGCCUCUACCGCCACCCUCACUCCCACCUCCAUUCCGGUACCCGCAGCUGGCCUCCGGCUGUGGGCCGGAUAAAGUGGGGGUUACCCUGGGGACGUACUGUUGGAGAAAUACGGUACGGUGUUUCUGCCUAGCGAUCACGGUUACCCUCGGGAAAGUGCAUGCUCGCUGCGCUGCCUCGGAGCCUCCCAGCCUCCAGGACGGCCUAGGGCGUCUGACCCCUGACUCGAAUCAGUGACACCCCCAGGCCUGGGCCACCUUCCUGGGGACCGACCUGUGCUUCACUCUCAGGCUGCUGUGGUCCGCAGCAGUCCCGGGACGCUUUGGCACUCCGCGCGGAGGUGGGAAGAGCAAGGCCCAGAGGAACUUGCCCAAGAGGUGGCAGUGAGCCGACGGUGCCACGCACCCUGCUAACUCCCUUUAACUCACACUCCUGUUGGAUCCUCAGCCUACAGAUGAAGACAUGGACUGUGAGGGGCCACGGGUCCUCCCCGGGUGACUCGGCUGGCGCUGUUGUUAUCACCACGGGAAUAGCAAACCUGUAAAACAAGAACCAACCACUAUGAAAAAGGAGCAUUCAGAGAACAGGAAAGAACAUUCGAAAACGUAAGCGUUCACAGUAAUCAUGAAAACCCAACCAAGACUGAAUAGCAGAAUGGACACACCUGAGAACCAAAUCAGAGCAACAGAUGGAAAUUAUGAGAGAAAAAUGCCAGAGCCACGGUUCAAUGGAAGGAAUUGAAUUCACAUGCAGAAAUGAAGAUGGAUCAAAAUCACCUUCCCAGUGAAAUCCGGCCCCUCCUCGCUCAGGCAGAGAGAUGUUGAUGGAUAACAGGGAGUUGGCCCUUGUCUUCUAUGCUGCAAUUAUCUGUCUUGCCCUGAAGAGGAACUCCUGUGUCAGUCCACAGGCCUCCGAGCUUCUGACUCCCGCGUUCUGGAUGCCUGUCAACCACAUCUCCCGUUUUCGUACAUCAGCCAUUAUUCCAGUAUUACCGCCUGGACUUUGUUGAUUUUUCUUUUUAUCUUCCUUGUCCACGUGCAACAGAUUUGAGGCCUUCUUCAUCUCAUCAAAUAACGAAAUCAGCCAUUUUCUGAUAUUUACUUCUCUUUCAAGUAAGAUAUUUAUCCCAAGGGGAGAACCAUUUUUUUCCCCCUGCUCUCAUUGAAAUUCAUCAAAACUUUGGAACAAUGCUAUGCCCUGGGAUCAGCCUUUCCAGGUGACUUCAUCUGUAUUCGUGCCUUGUCUGCCGUCUUUUUGCCAGUGACUUGUAAAUUUCCGUCUCCUGCCGGGACCUCUCCCCUGAAUUCCCAUCUUUUGCACCCAGCCACCGGUUUGUAGCUCCACAUGAAUGUCUCUGAAACACCACCAACCCUCGGUGAUUGCUCUCCCUUGACCCCAGCAGGCUCACCCCUACUCUCUGUGGAACCCGGGGUGAGAGGGAAACAGAGGCGCCGUCUACCUGCUUCUCCUCCCGUCCCGGCCCCGUCCAGAGCUUCAGGGCUAGCACACACGUGCAUGAACACUAGGGCCCAUGCUCUGUCCACACCCACAUCCACAUCCACAUCCACAAACAGCACCCUUGCUUCUCCUGGGCCUCAGGGCGCACACUCCUGUAAUGCACCCUCCCUCCUGGAGGGGCAGGUCUGGGGGCAGGCUCCAAGUCAUCUGGGCGGGGAACUCUGAGGUCCAGAUCCUGAAAAGUCACCCCAACACACUCUUCCUGGCCCCGCAGCCAACCAUCUACCCGGACCUCUAGAUUUUCUUUCAGCCUCUCCCUCCCUAGUCCAUGGGGUUUGUCCACACCACCUCCCUCUCAUCCAGAGGCCAGAGCCACGGCUCUUCCCACAUGUGCUCUUGUCUGCUCCAAUCCAUCCCAAGUUUUGAAAGAUGUUAAUGAGCUGAAGUCCCCAGGUGAGUGGUGUCCCCUUGCACAACACAGACUCCACCCCCUGCGGCCACCCCACACCCCCCCUUACUCUCGAGGUCAGCCCAUUGACCAUGGCAAGCGCAACGUCAUCCCUCCGGGUCUCCCGUCCAGACGUGGAGCUGCCUCUCCCCUUGAGUCUGGGCUGGCCUGUGACUCACCUUGGUCCACAGAACAUGGCAGCAGUGAGGUUGUGCCCCUCUGAGCCUGGGCUUCCUAAGGCCCUGCAGCUCCCACCCACACCCCUGCCCAGCUUCAGCGGGACAGGCCCGGGCUGGCCCACAGGGGAGCAGGGGGGAGCCCUCUCACACCCAGGACCUCCGAGGCCCCCAGCUCCAACAACCUGCCCGCUGACCUCAGACACGCGAGCAAGCCCUGCCGGGCCCAGGUGGAGAGUCACAGAAUCACAAGCAAAUUCAGUGGUUGUUGUUUUAAGCACUACAUUUUGGAGCCAUUUGUUACAGGGCAAAAGCUGACGGAAACUUCCACGUAGUUCCUUGAGCUCCCCGGGGGCCUUCCUGACCUCUGGCCUUUCACGUGGGUCACUGCCCCUCUGGGUCCUGCUUCAUCCUGAUCUGCUGGCUCGGCUCUGCUUCAGCCUUCCGACUUGGGCUUUCCCGCUGUCCCUGUCCCCAACGUCUCUGCUCCUCAGAGCCCCAUCAUCCCUGCCACCUCUCUGCCCUCCUCCUUCCCGCCUCAGCUUCACCCUCUCCAGCUCACAUGGACCCUGGAGGGGCCUCCCUCUAGUGCUUCUGUCCACGAAGCCCUUUGCUCACUCCCAGUGACAGUCAUCAUCUGAUUCACAUCUCUCUGCCCUAAGGGGCCAUGAGCUCCAUGGGGACAGAGACCACCGCAGACCUCCAGUUCCUGCCACGUGCCCGGCAGAUAGUAGGAGCUCAGUACACGUUUGCUGGGUGAAUAAAUGACUGAACAAAUGA
Molecule: long non-coding RNA, 3052 nt
Organism: Lynx canadensis (Canada lynx)
Lineage: Eukaryota; Metazoa; Chordata; Mammalia; Carnivora; Felidae
Exons: 3
Source: RefSeq, a predicted model, not a curated record